UUCACGGAGAGUUUGAUCCUGGCUCAGGACGAACGCUGGCGGCGUGCUUAACACAUGCAAGUCGAACGAUGAAGCC
This 76-nucleotide non-coding RNA is filed under the name Streptomyces globisporus. RNAcentral's name for it is "partial 16S ribosomal RNA". It matches the Rfam family "Bacterial small subunit ribosomal RNA", at positions 1 to 76 of the family's 1533-position model. The record is from RNAcentral. Lineage: Bacteria; Bacillati; Actinomycetota; Actinomycetes; Kitasatosporales; Streptomycetaceae. RNAcentral also lists the same sequence under 45 other names.